CUAUGGAAACUCUUUCAUCUUCUUCCCCUUUCUUUCUCCCUUGUCUGAUCUUUUCUUUCUUGCAAGCUGAGCUCCCAGCUCACUUCUUCCCAUCAAAUCUCCUCCAAACACUUUGGAUCCAUCCCUGCAUGUCACACCACUAAACCCCCAUCACUCUAAGCUCCUCAUCCAUCCGAAAAUCUCCCACAUGCAUGGAUUCGUGAGAGAGAUCGAGAAGAAGGAAGAACAAGCAACUUGCAGCCUAUGAGGUUACAGCAGCAGGGAGAACUUAUUUCCAUUGAUUUAUGAGUUUCCCUCUCCAUCCAUGGCUCCCCUAUGAGGUUCUCCAUUGUGUUGGUCAUCUCUAGUGCAUUCCAUAGGUCAUCGAUUCAAGAUUUGGAGGCAAGUGGUAGCUGCAACUCGUCCCUCUCCAUUGCAGGACAACCCUGAGAUUCUUCGGUUUACUCUCUUGAAUUGCCAUUUUCAGCACCUGAGAGCUUGUCAUUUUCAUAUCUCCCAAACCAUAAGUGAUAAUCUGAUUCGGAGAUUCCGGAGAGUAACGAGCCAUAUCCCAAGGAGGAUAGUGACUACCCUCAGCAGCAAGG
Oryza sativa Japonica Group (Japanese rice) is the source of this 584-nucleotide non-coding RNA. The record is from RefSeq and is a predicted model, not a curated record. NCBI's taxonomy places the organism in Eukaryota, Viridiplantae, Streptophyta, Magnoliopsida, Poales, Poaceae.